UCACCGAUGUUUUAGACAUUACAUUUUAUAAUGGCUUUUCAGAUGAAAAACUCAUUUUGAUCAUUCUAUUAUAUAUGGAUAUCUUAACUUACUAGAACAUCUAGCAAAGUCUUGUACGUUUCAGCGUGUAUGAUAAUGUGUUUUUUUUUAUGUUUAUGGUGCAUGAUAGAAGGGGAAGUAUACUUUUAAAACUCUUGCCAUAAUAUAUUUUGCUACCCUGGUAUAUAAGUAUAGAAAAAAAUAUCUAUGCUAACUAACAUACAACAAAUGUAACCAAUUGUAUACAUGGAAAUAACUCUUAUAUUCACAAAAAUAUUAUUUUGCCUUUGCUCCCCAGUAACUUGAUGUUUAAGUAAAGGCUUAUAACACUCAAAAUUGGGAUUUGAUACUUAUGGUGGGCACAGUUUAGAUAGCCCAUCAUGUAGUUUUGUGCUAAUGGAAAUGAAUGUUUUUGUAUUUGUUAUUUAAAUAAAGAUAGUUUAAUCCAAAUAACAUUAGAUGUUAUAGAGUUAAAAAGUCUUAAAUUCACAGGUUUUGAGGUUUUAAAAAAAGUCUUGAAUUUAACUUCUGUGCAUAUUGAUGCUGUAUCUUUUUCUUAACUUUGGUUUGUUCCACAUUGCACCUAUGCUUAACAGCAUUACAGUACUUUGCUUUGAUGCUGUAUCUUAUUCUUAACUUUGGUUUGUUACACAUUGCACCUAUGCUUAACAACAUUACAGUACUUUGCAUUGAUGCUGUAUCUUAUUCUUAACUUUGGUUUGUUCCACAUUGCACCUAUGCUUAACAGCAUUACAGUACUUUGCAUUCAUUCUAUCUAGGCUUAUACGAAACUGGGAACACUAAAUCAAGUUUGCUAUGUGAUCAUUCUAUAAUUUAGAAUAUAGAUAUUUAUUUUUUACAGAUUUACUAAAAAUAGCAAUAUUAAUUAAAGGGAAGUCAGUGAGGUUAUGCCUAGCAUUUACAUUUUUAUCUGUUAUAGUUUGAUAGAUCAAUUACAAGCAUGUUUUGCUUGAUAUUUGAAUUCCAGAGUGAUAUGGAUGAACUUAAUGAUGAAUUGUACUGAAUGAAGAGGUUUAAUUCGUUUAGUUUAUUACUAUUUUAUUCAACUAGAAUUAAUUAGAAUCUUUGUAUGAUUCAUGUUUUUGCAAAAUUGUCCUUUUCUCUACCCUCAGUUUUUUCACCUUCCCCUUCUAUUUAGCAAGUAUGAAUUGAAGAUUACUUUGUUAAUUAUUGAUGAAUCUGUGGUUAUUUCAGAUGUUCAGUGCCAUAACAAAAAUGGUUUUAAAGACAAAAAAAGAACAGAAAGAACGACAACAACAAACUCGAGAUAGUACUGUUAAGCUUCAACGAGGAUCUCAGCGAGGGAAGAAGAAAUGCUGUUAAUAAUAGUUUAUUAGGGGAUAAAAAGACUGGAAUUGAAAGCAUCAUUGGGUGAUUUCUAAGACCCCUUUCAGCUGCAGGAAUAUAAAAGGGUAUGAGCUGUGUUCAUGUCCAGGAUUUAGAGUUUAAGACUUAACCUGAUAUCACAUAGGACUUGCAGGAAAUCAUGCACUUGUCACCUGGAAAAGCUUUAGCACCAAUGUUCUGGUUUUUAUUCUGAUUGAUGAUUUUUGCUGGCAUAAACAUGAAGACAAAGAAAACUAUGUGCCAUGUUUUGUUGGUGAUUGGCUGUACAAUUGGUUUUUUCAAGACAGCUGAGUAAUGAAUCAAGAUAAUCAUGAUUGGAUCAUCAUGUGUAAGCUACUGACACAAUAGGAUCAAGACUAUCAAGUCAUUUCUUUGUUGUACAUAACUCUAACUGCUUUACUUGAACAACCAGUGUUUGAUACAAUGUUUAUAAAGUAGACAAACAUAAAAGACACUUCAGUGACACAGCCAUUUAGUUAACUGAAGAAUCUUCAGCUAUUGCUGCAGAAUCUGUGAUUCAGUGAUGAUAAAUGUAAGAGGCCAACUGUGAACAAGACAAGCAUGGGAUUAAAAACGAGUCUGAACUCUGAAUUUUAUUCCAAGUCAAGCUGAGUUGUUCAUCUAAUUCAGGAAAUUUUCAUGAAAAGGACAUAUUGUCCAAGUGAUUUAUAAAUAAUGGAUAAAAAUAAAUAUAUAUCACUAGAUCAUUUCCUCUAAACUUUUUUAAAACUAAUUCACUUAUGAUUGUGUAUUUUAUUUCCAUGAUUUCAUUAUACUGUGUACUUUAUUAGAACUUUUUUGUGUGCAUGUUUUUUUACUUAGAUUUGCCAUAUGAUUUUCUGGCUGAUGAUACUUUAACUAAUAAUAACCAUUAAUUAUGUUAAUGAGAAAAGAUUAAUGAUUUUAACAAAUUUUCUUGAUACUUUUGUUCUUUAGCAAAGUGUAUCAAAAAUGAUUCACUGCACGCAAAUGUUGUUUAAGAUUUUUGGAAUACAUCAGUGCAAAGAAAAAAAAAGAAUAAUUUUUUGGGGAUUGGUAUAUUUUUUCUGUUAAUAAAGUUUAAUUGAAAAUAAAAUAUUUAAAUGCUCAUUCCCAUAUGUUCCCACCAUUUCCUUGAUUUUACUUUUUUUCAUGGGCCAAUGAUUUUUUUUGUAUAAAUAUGUAUAUAUAUAAUAUAUUGCUGAUAAAAGUUAGAUUUUUUUUCUGUCUUUUAGUUUAAUUUUACAGAAAAUAUUAUAUGUUUGAUUCUAAGUAACUGUGUUUAGGGGACUCGGUGCUCUAACUAGUGCCUGCUCUUUAGCUGUUUUUGUUUACCAUACAGUAGUAUUUCUAUGAGUAUUAUUUUGAGGCAGAACAUUUAUUAAAGUCAUCUAAUCAUCAUAUUAAGAGAAGAGGUGUUGUUAGGAAAUGUUCCUACAAGUAAGCAUUUUCAGUGGGGUAAAGUAUCAGUAAUUUCUUUUUUUAGUUGAUAACAUGUUAGUGUUCAGUUAAUAUUUUUGGGGAUAUUCAUGCUCUAUAGGAAGAUUAUGUUAUGCAUUAGCUUAUAAAUCCAUAGUUUACAGUUUCUUUUUUAAGUGUUUCCUUUUUUUAUACUACCUCAUACAAAUCCUUGGAAAGUCAUGAUAGUAGUGAUGCUUUUAAACUGAUCAAAGUAUCGUUUCUUUAAUUAGAUCAGUAAGAGUUUCUUGCAAAAGGUUUUCCUAAAAGGAGGAAAAGAAUGCUAUAAGAAAGUAAAGGAUUAGGUGACAAAGUUACUGAACUAUGGGUAAUAAUUAUUUAAAUAAAAAUUAUGGUAUUAUCAGCAGCCAAUAAAAACCUGGUGAUCAGCAUGAGCAAUAUUGUGAAUAGCUGUAUAAAGGGUUAGCAAACUGGGGAAUGUCUGUUAAGUUCAAUAGAGCUAUCAGCACUUUAGUGGACCUUUGCUGUUGUACUGUGUAAUGACAUGAUUUUUGUUUUCAAUAAAGCUUACAAUAAAAGUAUGUGUACAAAAAACACCUGUUGCACUAGCUUAACAUUUAUUGUCAAUAUGAUUUAUUGGUAGUAGUUUAAGACAUGAGCAAAUUCUUAUAUUGAGAUCCUCCUCAUGUCUAUAUACAGUAACACUUUUUAUGCUGAAUAAUGUACAGAAGGGUUUAAAAGCUUGAGUUAAAUUCACCUGUGGCAGGAACUGUGAUGAUGAACUCUAUGUUGGUACAUUUAAAUUUUCCAUUAUGUUGAACCUUACAUUUUGGCAGUUGGCUGUUAGUAAAGUAACAUUGUUUGGGAUUUGCCAAGUAAAUGAUUUUAAAGUUUUUGGUACAUCGCACCAAUAAAAGUUUAUUACUUUUUUUACUAAAUAUAUUAACAUUAUGUAACAGUAUUAUCUAAAAUUCAUAUUAAUUCUAACAGCUAACAUAAAACUUCUAAUUUAGACAAAUGAAAUUGUGUAAAUAAUUAAAGCUGCUUAAUUCUGAAGAUACGAGACAAUAUGUGGUCUUAUAAAGUACCAAUAAAUUAGAAACAUAUGUGUAUUUCAAGUUUCAAAUAUAACAUCUUACUGUUUGAUUGGAGCAUGUUGUUGAAAUCUAGGCAAAGGUUUUAUUAUGAAUUAGCAGUUUGUCCUUCACAGGUUUGGUACAUUUUAAUAGGAAAGUGUUGUUUUUUUUUAAUAUAAAUAACACUUGUUUAGGAUCACCAGUGAUAUGUUUCAUCAUGUUGUAGUUGAAACUAUUUCUUACAGAAAUAAGUAUUAUAUCUUGAUCUCUGCCAUACUAAACUUCCCAUGUAUAUGUUAAUAACUGAUUUAUAGUUUUCAUUUGUAGUUCACAGUCUGUCCUUAUUCACUGGGGUGAAAGAAGGUAAUGUUCUUGAGUUUAACGAAAUAUGGUUAAAGUUCUAAGUUUCUGCUUAACUUUCCAGUAAAUUAAAAUAUUACAUGCUUUUUUAUUGUGCUUGAUUAACAUUAUUUGUCUCCAAAAUUUGUUUGUUACAAUUGUUCCCCAGUCAGGCAUAUGAAAACGAAAUGCUUGUUUUCCAGUACCAAAAAGAACAGUUUGAAAAUAACGUUGAUCAUGAGUUUAGUAAAUUGGUAAAUAUCCAUUUUUUGUUUUAACUUUGACUCUUUGGUGAGUAGUACCGUUAUGUUCAAUUUGAUUGUAAACUUGUAAUCACACAAUUAAUUUUAAGUUUUACAUUUAACAUCCUUAAACAUAGCAAAUGUAGAAGGUCCUUCGUAUCUAAUUGUUGAUUAUAUUGUAAUGUUGGGAAGAAUGAUUUUUUGCUUGCAUAUAAAUAAAUUUAUUUCUUUGCACAAUG
This is a long non-coding RNA of Limulus polyphemus (Atlantic horseshoe crab), 4701 nucleotides long. RefSeq lists it as uncharacterized. The transcript has 2 exons. The record is from RefSeq and is a predicted model, not a curated record. Lineage: Eukaryota; Metazoa; Arthropoda; Merostomata; Xiphosura; Limulidae.